CCAGCAGCCGCGGUAAUACGUAGGUGGCAAAGGUUGUCCGGAAUUAUUGGGCGUAAAGCGCGCGCAGGCGGUCCUUUAAUUUGAUGUGAAAGCCCACGGUUUCAACCGUGGAGGGUCAUUGGAAACUGGGGGACUUGAGUGCAGAAGAGAAGAAGUGGAAUUCCACGUGUAGCGGUGAAAUGCGUAGAGAUGUGGAGGAACACCAGUGGCGAAGGCGACUCUUUGGUCUGUAACUGACGCUGAGGCGCGAAAGCGUGGGGAGCAAACAGGAUUAGAUACCCUGGUAGUUCACGCCGUAAACGAUGAGUGCUAAGUGUUAGAGGGUUUUCGCCCUUUAGUGCUGCAGCAAACGCAUUAAGCACUCCGCCUGGGGAGUACGGCCGCAAGGGUGAAACUCAAAGGAAUUGACGGGGGCCCGCACAAGCGGUGGAGCAUGUGGUUUAAUUUGAAGCAACGCGAAGAACCUUACCAGGUCUUGACAUCCUUUGACACUCCUAGAGAUAGGAAGUUUCCCUUUGGGGGACAGAGUGACAGGUGGUGCAUGGUUGUUGUCAGCUUGUGUUGUGAGAUGUUGGGUUAAGUCCCGCAACGAGCGCAACCCUUGAUUUUAGUUGCCAGCCUUAAGUUGGGCACUUUAAGGUGACUGCCGGGGACAAACCGGAGGAAGGGGGGGAAGACGUCAAAUCAUCAUGCCCCUUAUGACCUGGGCUACACACGUGGUACAAUGGAUGGUACAAAGGGCAGCAAAACCGGGAGGUCGAGCAAAUCCCAUAAAACCAUUCUCAGUUCGGAUUGUAGGGUGCAACUUGCCUACAUGAAGCUGGAAUCGCUAGUAAUCGCGGAUCAGCAUGCCGCGGUGAAUACGUUCCCGGGCCUUGUACACCCCGCCCGUCACCCCCCGAGAGUUUGAACCCCCGAAGUCGGGGGGAAC
Molecule: ribosomal RNA, 931 nt
Filed under: Bacillus sp. 3731-i1d
Lineage: Bacteria; Bacillati; Bacillota; Bacilli; Caryophanales; Bacillaceae
Description: SSU rRNA
Rfam family: Bacterial small subunit ribosomal RNA
Source: RNAcentral